RNAcentral lists this long non-coding RNA (377 nucleotides) under Lotus japonicus. RNAcentral describes it as "long non-coding RNA (LJAP_LNC000546)". Lineage: Eukaryota; Viridiplantae; Streptophyta; Magnoliopsida; Fabales; Fabaceae. The record is from RNAcentral.
GGAGAGAGAAACAUUAAAAAAUUAUAGAAAUCUUAUCUCUAUUGUACUUCAGAUUUCAUGUCUGGCUAAUCCGUCCUCUUCAUCUUACUCUCUCACUAACCUCCUUAUCACUCUACACUCAUUCAAUUAGUUAGUUCGGUUAGUUCAAUCUCCUUCCUUCAACUGUUGCGCUCAAGUUUAAGUUUUUACUACCCUCAUCUCUUUCUCAUUUGGCUUACCCUCCUCCAACAACGACGGAGACCUCGUUCCUAUCUACGCCAACAAAGUUGGUCCAUUUCUCAACCCCAGAUUCGUCCCUUUCUUCGAUCUCCUCUUCAUUCGAUCUCAUCCACCCCAAUGGCUUUGCCUUGCACAGAUCCACAUGCAUUCAUUUCAUU